Molecule: ribosomal RNA, 397 nt
Filed under: Acanthamoeba sp.
Lineage: Eukaryota; Discosea; Longamoebia; Acanthamoebidae
Description: SSU rRNA
Rfam family: Eukaryotic small subunit ribosomal RNA
Source: RNAcentral
AAAAUUAGAGUGUUCAAAGCAGGCAGAUCCAAUUUUCUGCCACCGAAUACAUUAGCAUGGGAUAAUGGAAUAGGACCCUGUCCUCCUAUUUUCAGUUGGUUUUGGCAGCGCGAGGACUAGGGUAAUGAUUAAUAGGGAUAGUUGGGGGCAUUAAUAUUUAAUUGUCAGAGGUGAAAUUCUUGGAUUUAUGAAAGAUUAACUUCUGCGAAAGCAUCUGCCAAGGAUGUUUUCAUUAAUCAAGAACGAAAGUUAGGGGAUCGAAGACGAUCAGAUACCGUCGUAGUCUUAACCAUAAACGAUGCCGACCAGCGAUUAGGAGACGUUGAAUACAAAACACCACCAUCGGCGCGGUCGUCCUUGGCGUCUCGGUUUCGGCCGGGGCGCGGGACGGCUAGCC